AGACUUGGCAAUUGCCAGGUAUCAUCUUUUCGAUUUACCCAGGUCCACCGCUGAGGCCACAAGGGAGAUUUCUUCCAGAGAGAGGAGAGAGUUAUUAAGUCUAAAGUCCAUUAUUUGCUUUUGUCCUUCAGGAAAAGAUGGUCCUGACUCUGGGUGGAUCUAACAAGGAUCCUGGAACUCCAGUUCUGCUUUUUGGAUUUACCGGGAACUUCCCAGUCCAGACGAUUGGAAUUACAGCAAUAUACUUUGACUGGUAUGAUCUUC
Long non-coding RNA from Harpia harpyja (harpy eagle), 264 nucleotides. RefSeq lists it as uncharacterized. The transcript has 3 exons. The record is from RefSeq and is a predicted model, not a curated record. Lineage: Eukaryota; Metazoa; Chordata; Aves; Accipitriformes; Accipitridae.